AGGAUAAACGCUGGCGGCGUGCCUAACACAUGCAAGUCGAACGUCCUUGCGGUCUUCUUCUUCGGAGGAGGACCGCGAGGGAGUGGCGGACGGGUGAGUAACACAUGGGUACCUGCCUUUCAGUGAGGAAUACCGGCGAGAAAUCGCCGACAAGACCGCAUAGGCUUCCUUCGGUAGCCCGAGGGAAGCAAAGUUACUUCGCGAGAGGUGACGCUGGAAGAGGGGCCUGUGGCCGAUUAGCUAGUUGGGGGGGUAACGGCCUCCCAAGGCGACGAUCGGUAGCUGGUCUGAGAGGACGAUCAGCCACACUGGGAUUGAGAACGGCCCAGACUCCUACGGGGGGCAGCAGUGAGGAAUUUUCCGCAAUGGACGAAAGUCUGACGGAGCAACGCCGCGUGCAGGAGGAAGGUUUUCGGAUCGUAAACUGCUUUUCUCGGGGACGAGCAAGGACGGUACCCGAGGAAGAAGCCCGGCUAACUACGUGCCAGCAGCCGCGGUAA
This 500-nucleotide ribosomal RNA is filed under the name uncultured bacterium. RNAcentral describes it as "SSU rRNA". It matches the Rfam family "Bacterial small subunit ribosomal RNA", at positions 26 to 523 of the family's 1533-position model. The record is from RNAcentral.